Xylaria arbuscula is the source of this 99-nucleotide non-coding RNA. The record is from the annotation of a GenBank genome assembly. Lineage: Eukaryota; Fungi; Ascomycota; Sordariomycetes; Xylariales; Xylariaceae.
GGCAUGUUGCCAGAGUGGUUAAUGGGUGAGACUUGAAUUCAAUCUGAGUUAAGCCAUCUCAUGACUUCGGUCGCGUAGGUUCAAAUCCUGCACAUGUCG